Molecule: microRNA precursor, 95 nt
Filed under: Pteropus vampyrus (large flying fox)
Lineage: Eukaryota; Metazoa; Chordata; Mammalia; Chiroptera; Pteropodidae
Description: miRNA (ENSPVAG00000025343.1)
Source: RNAcentral
AAGUAUUUUUGUGUUUUGUUUUUAAUUGAUGCUGUUACAUAUAUAUGUGUGUGUAUACACACACACACACACACAUAUGUAUACGCACCACACAC